UUGGCAGAAUAAUCAAAUAGUGACACAUGAAGUGUCAUGUGUACCUUAUGCCGACGUAUAGGAAUCAAUUUUUAACAACAAAAAUAGAUGAAUUUUUUUACAAAAUGACCAGUUUACUCUUUGAUAGGGAUGUGCAAAUUUCGGGUAAAAUUAAAUUAAUUCGGUUAACCGAUCGAAUUCGGUUAAUCAGUCGGUUAACUGAAUUAAUUUGGUCGGGGUUGGUUAAUAAUUUUUUAGAAGUUCGGUUAACUUUUAAUUCGGUUCGAAAUCAGUCGGUUAACCGAAUUAAUCGAACUUAA
RNAcentral lists this long non-coding RNA (299 nucleotides) under Gossypium barbadense (sea-island cotton). Its description in RNAcentral is "long non-coding RNA (GBAR_LNC021440)". The record is from RNAcentral. Lineage: Eukaryota; Viridiplantae; Streptophyta; Magnoliopsida; Malvales; Malvaceae.